Molecule: long non-coding RNA, 423 nt
Organism: Populus euphratica (Euphrates poplar)
Lineage: Eukaryota; Viridiplantae; Streptophyta; Magnoliopsida; Malpighiales; Salicaceae
Exons: 2
Source: RefSeq, a predicted model, not a curated record
AGAAAGUAGAUCAAAUGUUGUUGACUUCUAAUUUAGUUAUAUCAGCACUCCUGGUGGAACAUUAAUUGUGACGCAUAUAUACUCACCAGGAUUGUUGCUUUGAUGCUGUCUGUUCUCAAAGGGAAUCCAAGGUCCCCGUGAUCCUGGAGAUUCAAAAGGACAUCCAGAAGAUCCUCCGCUUUACUCUCUUCACCAGUCUUUGCCACUUCCCUGCAGACUCUAUGUUCAUAUAUAAUGUUUUCUAGCAUCUCAUCUGCGUCCUGAUGCGACCUUUUGAGCCUAGACCUAAACCUACUGAUCUUGUACAACAGCUUAGAGGAAGGGAAUACAUCUGCAAUAUUCGCACCUCCUAUUGCCUCCAUCACAUGCUCAAUAAUCGGUAAGAAUGCUUCUUGGUGCUUGUAUUUCUUACCAACACUUGUU